Molecule: transfer RNA, 72 nt
Filed under: Ictidomys tridecemlineatus (thirteen-lined ground squirrel)
Lineage: Eukaryota; Metazoa; Chordata; Mammalia; Rodentia; Sciuridae
Description: Spermophilus tridecemlineatus (thirteen-lined ground squirrel) tRNA
Rfam family: tRNA
About the family: Transfer RNA (tRNA) molecules are approximately 80 nucleotides in length.
Source: Rfam by way of RNAcentral
GGGGUUGUGGCUCUGCAGUAGAGCAUUCGCCUUGCACUUGUGAGACCCUGGGUUCGAUCCUCAGCACCACUA